GAUGAAGAACGUAGCAAAAUGCGAUAAGUAAUGUGAAUUGCAGAAUUCAGUGAAUCAUCGAAUCUUUGAACGCACCUUGCGCUCUUUGGUAUUCCGAAGAGCAUGCCUGUUUGAGUGUCAUGAAAAUAUCAACCUUGACUUGGGUUUUGUGCUCUAGUCUCGGCUUGGAAUUGGGUGCUUGCCGCUUUUACGAGCGGCUCACCUUAAAUGUAUUAGCUGGAUCUGUCUUUGAGACUUGGUUUGACUUGGCGUAAUAAGUAUUUCGCUAAGGACAUUCUUCGGAGUGGCCUCGUUUCUAGGACGCUUGUCCGCUUUCCAAUACAAGUUCCACCUCGUGGACAUGACUUUUUAUUAUCUGGCCUCAAAUCAGGUAGGACUACCCGCUGAACUUAAGCAUAUCAAUAAGCGGAGGA
RNAcentral lists this unclassified non-coding RNA (413 nucleotides) under soil metagenome. RNAcentral's name for it is "partial contains 5.8S ribosomal RNA, internal transcribed spacer 2, and large subunit ribosomal RNA". The stretch from base 1 to 120 matches the Rfam family "5.8S ribosomal RNA", at positions 35 to 154 of the family's 154-position model. The record is from RNAcentral.